Molecule: ribosomal RNA, 497 nt
Filed under: uncultured bacterium
Lineage: Bacteria
Description: partial 16S ribosomal RNA
Rfam family: Bacterial small subunit ribosomal RNA
Source: RNAcentral
GAUGAACGCUGGCGGCGUGCCUAAUACAUGCAAGUCGAGCGAACGGACGAGAAGCUUGCUUCUCUGAUGUUAGCGGCGGACGGGUGAGUAACACGUGGAUAACCUACCUAUAAGACUGGGAUAACUUCGGGAAACCGGAGCUAAUACCGGAAAAUAUUUUGAACCGCAUGGUUCAAAAGUGAAAGACGGUCUUGCUGUCACUUAUAGAUGGAUCCGCGCUGCAUUAGCUAGUUGGUAAGGUAACGGCUUACCAACGCAACGAUGCAUAGCCGACCUGAGAGGGUGAUCGGCCACACUGGAACUGAGACACGGUCCAGACUCCUACGGGAGGCAGCAGUAGGGAAUCUUCCGCAAUGGGCGAAAGCCUGACGGAGCAACGCCGCGUGAGUGAUGAAGGUCUUCGGAUCGUAAAACUCUGUUAUUAGGGAAGAACAUAUGUGUAAGUAACUGUGCACAUCUUGACGGUACCUAAUCAGAAAGCCACGGCUAACUACGUG